GAUGAACGCUGGCGGCGUGCCUAAUACAUGCAAGUCGAGCGAAUGGAUUAAGAGCUUGCUCUUAUGAAGUUAGCGGCGGACGGGUGAGUAACACGUGGGUAACCUGCCCAUAAGACUGGGAUAACUCCGGGAAACCGGGGCUAAUACCGGAUAACAUUUUGAACCGCAUGGUUCGAAAUUGAAAGGCGGCUUCGGCUGUCACUUAUGGAUGGACCCGCGUCGCAUUAGCUAGUUGGUGAGGUAACGGCUCACCAAGGCAACGAUGCGUAGCCGACAUGAGAGGGUGAUCGGCCACCCUGGGACUGAGACCCGGCCCAGACUCCGACGGGAGGCAGCAGUAGGGAAUCUUCCGCAAUGGACGAAAGUCUGACGGAGCAACGCCGCGUGAGUGAUGAAGGCUUUCGGGUCGUAAAACUCUGUUGUUAGGGAAGAACAAGUGCUAGUUGAAUAAGCUGGCACCUUGACGGUACCUAACCAGAAAGCCACGGCUAACUACGUGCCAGCCGCCGCAGUAA
Molecule: ribosomal RNA, 515 nt
Filed under: uncultured bacterium
Lineage: Bacteria
Description: partial 16S ribosomal RNA
Rfam family: Bacterial small subunit ribosomal RNA
Source: RNAcentral